This 215-nucleotide ribosomal RNA is filed under the name uncultured fungus. Its description in RNAcentral is "partial small subunit ribosomal RNA". The stretch from base 40 to 215 matches the Rfam family "Eukaryotic small subunit ribosomal RNA", at positions 686 to 864 of the family's 1831-position model. The record is from RNAcentral. Lineage: Eukaryota; Fungi.
GGGUCAGUAGGUUGGUCGUGCCACCGGUACGUACUGGUCUCACUGAUUCCUCCUUCCUGAAGAACCGUAAUGCCAUUAAUUUGGUGUUGCGGGGAAACAGGACUGUUACUUUGAAAAAAUUAGAGUGUUUAAAGCGGGCAUUUGCUUGAAUACAUUAGCAUGGAAUAAUGAAAUAGGACGGACGGUUCUAUUUUGUUGGUUAUGGGACCACCGUA